RNAcentral lists this ribosomal RNA (1353 nucleotides) under Triticum aestivum (bread wheat). RNAcentral's name for it is "partial small subunit ribosomal RNA". The record is from RNAcentral. Lineage: Eukaryota; Viridiplantae; Streptophyta; Magnoliopsida; Poales; Poaceae.
AUGGUGACUGAUAAGAAAAUAAUCAGUCUUACUGUCAAGGUUGGAUUGGUGCUGUUUGCAGUAUGCAUUCUUGCGCCGAUUUCGCUCAUGGUGCUAUUCAGGCAUGCAGUUCCUCUGCAGACAUUGAGGUUGCUGUUUUCAGCUGGUCCAACAUCUUCAGUGAUGUGGGAAGAAGAAAAGAUGGACUCUGCAAACAAAGGGGAGCUGCUGUGUGAGUGUGACAUGUCGAGCCUAAGAUCAGAUGUAUGCGAGCUGAAGGGCGAUGUCCGGGUAAUCCUCUCCAACGUCACCAUCAUUGCCCUCCUCCAUCCCUCUGUCUCUGUGAGGCGCCGGUCAUGGAGGAUGAAGCCGCACGCGAGGAAGAAUGAUGGCCACACGCUCGCCAAUGUCACAGAGGUGUUGGUGUCGGUCACCCCUUCAUCACCUUACGCUCCGGGAUGCACGGCCGAGAGUGCCGCCCCUGCGGUGGUCUUCUCAGUCGGCGGCUACGCAGGCAACAUGUUCCAUGACUUCACCGACGUACUCAUCCCGCUCUUCAUCACCGCCAGCCGGUUCCGCAGCGACGCGCACCUCCUUGUCAGCGACGCCCCACCGUGGUGGCUUGACAAGUACCGACCGCUGCUCCGGGGGCUCUCCCGCCACGCUGUCAUUGACAUGGACAGGCAAAGCGCAGAAGUGCUCUGCUACCCUCAUGUGGUCGUCGGCCUCAGCUUCCACAAGGAGAUGAGUAUCGACACCGCGAAGACUCUCGGUGGGCACUACUCCAUGGCCGGCUUUGCCCACCUUGCCCGGAGAUCCUAUGGCCUCGAGAGGGAUACUGCCAUCCGGCUGCUACAUGGCAGUGACAAUAUCGAGAGCCCGCGACGCCCCAGGCUGCUCAUCAUUUCCCGGAAGACAACCAGGGCGUUCACCAACAUGGGGGCUGUUGCACAGGCGGCAGCCAUGCUUGGCUACGAGGUGAUCGUCGGCGAGGCGGAGCAGCACUCGGACCUGCCCGCCUUUGCACGGCUGGUGAACUCGUGCGACGUGCUGGUGGGCGUUCAUGGUGCUGGGCUCACCAACCUGGUGUUCCUCCCGCCAGGGGCUGUGGUGGUACAGGUGGUGCCGCUGGGUGGGCUGGAGGCCAUGGCGAGGGACGACUUCGGGGAGCCGGCUGGCGACAUGGGGCUCAGUUACGUGCAGUACCGCAUCGCCGUCGGGGAGAGCACACUGGCGGAGCUGUACCCACGUGACCACCGUGUGCUGAGGGACCUGGCGCUCCGGUCGGAGUACCUGGUCGGCCAGAACGUCACGCUCGAUGUCGCUCGGUUCAGUGGCGCCUUGUCCCGUGCUCUGGAGCUUCUUCACCAUUAG